GCACCCGUAGCUCAGCUGGAUAGAGCAACGGACUUCUAAUCCGUAGGUCGGUGGUUCGAAUCCACCCGGGUGCG
Molecule: transfer RNA, 74 nt
Filed under: Planctomycetaceae bacterium
Lineage: Bacteria; Pseudomonadati; Planctomycetota; Planctomycetia; Planctomycetales; Planctomycetaceae
Description: tRNA-Arg
Rfam family: tRNA
About the family: Transfer RNA (tRNA) molecules are approximately 80 nucleotides in length.
Source: RNAcentral